RNAcentral lists this ribosomal RNA (514 nucleotides) under Escherichia coli. RNAcentral describes it as "bacterial LSU rRNA". It matches the Rfam family "Bacterial large subunit ribosomal RNA", at positions 2408 to 2916 of the family's 2925-position model. The record is from RNAcentral. Lineage: Bacteria; Pseudomonadati; Pseudomonadota; Gammaproteobacteria; Enterobacterales; Enterobacteriaceae.
GGUCAUAGUGAUCCGGUGGUUCUGAAUGGAAGGGCCAUCGCUCAACGGAUAAAAGGUACUCCGGGGAUAACAGGCUGAUACCGCCCAAGAGUUCAUAUCGACGGCGGUGUUUGGCACCUCGAUGUCGGCUCAUCACAUCCUGGGGCUGAAGUAGGUCCCAAGGGUAUGGCUGUUCGCCAUUUAAAGUGGUACGCGAGCUGGGUUUAGAACGUCGUGAGACAGUUCGGUCCCUAUCUGCCGUGGGCGCUGGAGAAUUGAGGGGGGCUGCUCCUAGUACGAGAGGACCGGAGUGGACGCAUCACUGGUGUUCGGGUUGUCAUGCCAAUGGCACUGCCCGGUAGCUAAAUGCGGAAGAGAUAAGUGCUGAAAGCAUCUAAGCACGAAACUUGCCCCGAGAUGAGUUCUCCCUGACUCCUUGAGAGUCCUGAAGGAACGUUGAAGACGACGACGUUGAUAGGCCGGGUGUGUAAGCGCAGCGAUGCGUUGAGCUAACCGGUACUAAUGAACCGUGAGG